UCUUCCCAUCUACAGUGCCUUCAUCUAUCUUCAGACAUUCCAUAUAACAAGUGAUGGCUUCAGCUUUAUGCAGAGUUUGCUGAAACAUCUCUUCUGCACGAUCAAGAUCCCCAUCCUCGCUGUACUGAUUUGCCAGCUCAAUCAUAGCUGUAAUGAAGCCAGGCUUUAGUUCGGUGGUCUUGUCUAAAUAAUAAAUGCACUGACUUCGACUCCUCUGAAUCUCAGCACCAGCACUAGGUACCUACACAGCGACGUUCUUUCUCAGUGGCUUUGCACUCAUCUCCAGCGCUCUCCUGCUGUGUACCAUCACUGUGGUCCGUCACUGCCAGAGAAUUCAGAAGAACUCGCUAAGCAAAGUCUCCACACCAGAUGCAUGUGAAGGCAAACAGGCAGAGUUUUAUACUGCAAAAAUCUUAUAGUGUUGGACCUAUUGGUUAUAUCAUCUGUAUUGUUUUAUUUUUGUUAAAAAAGCAAAAACAAUACAAAACAAAAAAACAGGUGCAUAAACUUCAGUAGUUAGUGGGGGGAAAAAGGAAAUUUGUAGCAGUAAUAGCAAAUUUUUACAGUCUGAAAUUCGGUUAAUGUGCCCUUUCUAUCUGGCAACUUUCUGUUAGAAAGCAUUUCAUUCGUAGAUUGUAAAUGAAAAGUUCAAAACAGAAAAGGUGAGUUAGAGUUGGAGCAUAUUGCAUCGUUUGUUUGUUUUGUUUUUUCGUUUGUUUUUGUAAAGUGUUUAUCCAAAAGUGCUGUAUAACUUGAGAAUGUGUUUGUUGUGUUUUUCUCUCUAGUAUGUCUAGUAUCUCACAUGUACUGUGGUUAAAAAUAUCAGCGUCAUAAUUUUUCUAUGAAUCAGCUUGGAAGAGAAAUUAAUGCCACUAGAGGGCAGUGCUGAUUCAACUCACUCCAAACUUGAACAAGUACUGGAAGCUGAUAUGUCAGUGUUCAUAUCAAGUACAUUGACAGAAGAUAAAGGUUAAGUGACCAUCUUAUAAGAUAUAUUUACAUAUCAUCUUUAUUUGAUGAAAGAAAAAAGUUACAAUGUCUUUUACAAUAAACAUGUUUUAAACUAAAUAAUGAUUAAUUAAAGAUUAGCCCAGUGACAUAAAAAUUGUCUGUACUGAUCUUGAAUAAACAUUUUAUUCCUGUUUGCGUAAUAAAGGGUACUUGUUUAAUACUUUAUAUUGCUCCCAUCUUUAAACAAAGAAUUAUUGUUUUACUCAAGUAGAAUAUACAAAAAUUACUGGUAAAUCAUGACUCAGAAUGCAAUUCUGCUCUUGUAUCAGAAUGCAAAUGAUCCUGCUUUAAAUGCACAGAAUAGUUAGAUAUUCAUAAAUACUAGUAUUUUGCAGAAUGUCUUCAGCCUCCUAUGGUCCUGCAUUUCUCUCUUCUUUACUCACAGGGAUCCUCAAGUCUUUCCUGCUCCCAGGGCUUUUAGAUGAACGUUUAUCAUUAAUCUUUCCCAGCUGUUUAGCACUUUUCUUCCCAUCUACAGUGCCUUCAUCUAUCUUCAGACAUUCCAUAUAACAAGUGAUGGCUUCAGCUUUAUGCAGAGUUUGCUGAAACAUCUCUUCUGCACGAUCAAGAUCCCCAUCC
Molecule: long non-coding RNA, 1590 nt
Organism: Silurus meridionalis
Lineage: Eukaryota; Metazoa; Chordata; Actinopteri; Siluriformes; Siluridae
Exons: 4
Source: RefSeq, a predicted model, not a curated record